This 450-nucleotide long non-coding RNA is filed under the name Piliocolobus tephrosceles (Ugandan red Colobus). RNAcentral describes it as "lncRNA (ENSPTEG00000015510.1)". The record is from RNAcentral. Lineage: Eukaryota; Metazoa; Chordata; Mammalia; Primates; Cercopithecidae.
GUUAGGCCUACAUAUAAUGAACUGAUGUUAUCUAUAUUUUAUUUUUACUUUAUCAUUUAUCCUCUUAUUUUUAUCUUUUUUUCAGUUAUUAUGCUAAUAUGAAUGAUGCAAAAAUUUUGAGCGUUGAAAAAAUUAUUGAAAUACACCAUUUUAUGUUAAAUGAGUUAUAUAAAAUUGACCCGGAAUUUAAAAAAAUUCCGAAUAGAAAUGAAUUAGAUCCAAAACUUAUUGCACUAGUCGUCCAAUCUAUAGUUAGUGCUAAAGUUGCUGAAGGAUUUAAUUUAACAUCAGAAGACGUUGAAGCAUCUAUUGCGCAUCAACAUUAUGCAUUGGCAUCGGAUAUGGAGUUUUCUAAAAUUAACAUACAAAUGCAAACAAUUAUGAACAAGUUUAUGGAGUAAUAAUUAAUAUAUGAAAAAAAUAAAAUAAUGCACCAAAUAUUUUUAACCA